CGCGAGGGAGGUGACUUCAGCACUCGGCGAAGUACUACCGCAGAGACCGAUGAGCUAACAGAGCCCGAUGAGGCAAAGUUGAGAAGAACUUUGUGAGAGAGAGUUCAAGAGUACGUGAGACCGUUCGGGGGCAGACCUAAGAAACCCAAAAGAUCGAACGGGCGAGAUUCAUCGUCAGCGGCGCUGGCUUCGCGUCGGUGGGCGAUGUCCCGCGGAGUCCUCGCGGCUCGCGCGCGGGCACGCUACCGUGCGCCGAUGUCCGGCUGUCGUCGUCGUGCACUUCUCCCCAAGUAGAACGUCGCGACCCGCUGGGUGUCGGACUACGGCCCGGGUGCGGUGACUGUCGCGUCGCCGGUAAAACGGCACGCGACAAACCCCCGGUCGCCCGGCCGGCUGCUCGGCGGUACGCGCAAGGUAUCAGGCCGCACUUUCUACACGGUGCGUCAAGGCCGUCGCAAGCGCGCGCCACGGUACUCGGAGGUUACGGACUCAGCGCCGUCCCCGGUCCUGGCCCGCUGUUGGUUUACAAAGUACGGAUCACCUUCGACAGGGCUGCGAACGUCUCUCCCUCUCACAUGCGGCGGGGGAACGAUACUGGUCGGCGACGCUACUGCUUUGGGUACUCUUAGGACCCGUCUUGACACACGGACCAACGAGUCUAACAUGCACGCGAGUCAUUGGGACUUGUCGCGAGACCUAAAGGCGUAAUGAAAGUGAAAGUCAGCCCUGGUCGUCCACCGAGGGAUGAUGGGUCGCGUCGCGAUGCGGCCUCGUACUCCCGGGGCGUCUCGUUCUCAACGCGAGAAGAGGCGCACCCAGAGCGAACACGUUGGGACCCGAAAGAUGGUGAACUAUGCCUGGUCUGGACGAAGUCAGGGGAAAUCCUGAUGGAAGUCCGUAGCGAUUCUGACGUGCAAUCGAUCAUCUCAACUGGGUAUAGGGGCGAAAGACUAAUCGAACCAUCUAGUAGCUGGUUCCUUCCGAAAAAAAAUAAGUUGAAAAAGAAAAA
RNAcentral lists this ribosomal RNA (1009 nucleotides) under Oecophylla smaragdina. Its description in RNAcentral is "eukaryotic LSU rRNA". It matches the Rfam family "Eukaryotic large subunit ribosomal RNA", at positions 286 to 995 of the family's 3401-position model. The record is from RNAcentral. Lineage: Eukaryota; Metazoa; Arthropoda; Insecta; Hymenoptera; Formicidae.